CUACGGGGCGCAGCAGUGGGGAAUAUUGCACAAUGGAGUAAACUCUGAUGCAGCGACGCCGCGUGGAGGAAGAAGGUCUUCGGAUUGUAAACUCCUGUUGUCGGGGACGAUAAUGACGGUACCCGACAAGGAAGUGACGGCUAACUACGUGCCAGCAGCCGCGGUAAAACGUAGGUCACAAGCGUUGUCCGGAAUUACUGGGUGGAAAGGGAGCGCAGGCGGGAUGAUAAGUUGGAGGUGAAAUCUGUGGGCUCAACCCACAAAUUGCUUUCAAAACUAUUGUUCUUGAGUAGUGCAGAGGUAGGCGGAAUUCCCGGUGUAGCGGUGGAAUGCGUAGAUAUCGGGAGGAACACCAGUGGCGAAGGCGGCCUACUGGGCACCAACUGACGCUGAGGCUCGAAAGUAUGGGUAGCAAACAGGAUUAGAUACCCUAGUAGUC
This 439-nucleotide ribosomal RNA is filed under the name uncultured bacterium. RNAcentral describes it as "partial 16S ribosomal RNA". It matches the Rfam family "Bacterial small subunit ribosomal RNA", at positions 339 to 795 of the family's 1533-position model. The record is from RNAcentral.